Long non-coding RNA from Vicia villosa (hairy vetch), 1147 nucleotides. RefSeq lists it as uncharacterized. The transcript has 5 exons. The record is from RefSeq and is a predicted model, not a curated record. Lineage: Eukaryota; Viridiplantae; Streptophyta; Magnoliopsida; Fabales; Fabaceae.
ACUCAUAACUUAAUUUUAAUUACAAAAUGUAAUUUUCUUUCAGUGUUUUUUCGCGUUCUCCACUAUCUUUAUUCUCUACGAUUAUGUAUUUUUGGACGCGCUUUUUUCUCUCUCAAAGCGGAACAGCUUCUGUUCGAAUCGUGGAAAAUGGAAACAGGAACAGAAGCGGAAACGUGAAACACAACAUGUUCAAAUCGAGGAAAAUUGCUUAUCGUUAAAAGGAAAAAAGUCAAAACGUGCUUAUUUCGGAAGCGAUUCUCAAACGCAAUUCCAGAAUUAUCGGCACAGGUUUGAUGUUCUGGUUUUUCCGAUUUUGGUUUUAAGCUACAGUGUUUUGGUAAGCUAUUUUAUGGUUUCGACGCACUUACGGGUUUGCUAUAACUUAUGAUUCUGAGUUGUUUUCUAUGCAAACUUGGUUGUGAACUAAAUAGACAGCAUACAUAAGAUAAAUUUGCUGAGUAUUUUUCUGGAUGUAGUGAUUAGGAGAAUAAAAUGCAGCUUUCUAUCCUGCUCGCAAAGUGUUCGAUAAAAUGCCUCUGCCGGUUUUUUCUUCUUUUUGCUUUUGUUUCAGUUCAAUUCUUGCUACAACAUUGAUGUUAUGCUGUAAUUUGCUGUUGUUGCAGGUUGUGGUUGACGAAUUGAUGGAAAAUUGGUGCCAGAUUUGUCGUUUCGCGCUAUGCCCACCAAAUGUUCGGUUAUGUGAAGGGUAAAUAGUCAACUACUUGCAGGCUGAUGCUAGACAUGGGGAGAUACUGGGUCAGCUUCUCUAUGACAGAGGAAUGUGGCAUAUAUUUCAUUUGAGGCUUUGAUACUGUUGCUUGGGUGGAUGUGAAAGAAUAUGAAACCCAUCAACCUGAUAAAAUUGCAGUUGAUGGUGGUAUCUAAAGGAUCAAUUUUGAUUCAGAUGUAUGAAAGGGAAGAUACAAGACCAUUCAAAAUUGUAGAUACAUGAAAGUGAAGUAUGAAAGGGAAGAUACAAGACCACUCAAAAUUGUAAAUACAUGAAAGUGAAGAUACAAGAAUAUUAAAAUACAAAUAUAUGAGAUUUCUUUUGUAAGAGUCACAUAUUUGAUUUCUUUUGUGUGAGAUUCUAAUUAUAUGGAAUGAAAUUUUCUAUAUUGAAAUAUUUGAAUUUAAUAUAAAAUAG